This 252-nucleotide ribosomal RNA is filed under the name uncultured bacterium. RNAcentral's name for it is "partial 16S ribosomal RNA". It matches the Rfam family "Bacterial small subunit ribosomal RNA", at positions 524 to 776 of the family's 1533-position model. The record is from RNAcentral.
UACGUAGGGCGCAAGCGUUGUCCGGAAUUAUUGGGCGUAAAGAGCUCGUAGGCGGUCUGUUACGUCUGCUGUGAAAACCCAGGGCUUAACCCUGGGCUUGCAGUGGAUACGGGCAGACUAGAGGCAGGUAGGGAGAAUGGAAUUCCCGGUGUAGCGGUGAAAUGCGCAGAUAUCAGGAGGAACACCGGUGGCGAAGGCGCCACUCUGGGCCGAAACUGACGCUGAGGAGCGAAAGCGUGGGUAGCAAACAGG